Molecule: ribosomal RNA, 484 nt
Filed under: uncultured bacterium
Lineage: Bacteria
Description: partial 16S ribosomal RNA
Rfam family: Bacterial small subunit ribosomal RNA
Source: RNAcentral
GACGAACGCUGGCGGCGUGCUUAACACAUGCAAGUCGAACGAUGAAGCCGGAGCUUGCUCUGGUGAAUUAGUGGCGAACGGGUGAGUAACACGUGAGUAACCUGCCCUUGACUCUGGGAUAACUGCGGGAAACUGUAGCUAAUACCGGAUACGACCCUCGGAGGCAUCGCCAGGGGGUGGAAAGAAUUUCGGUCAAGGAUGGACUCGCGGCCUAUCAGCUAGUUGGUGAGGUAACGGCUCACCAAGGCGACGACGGGUAGCCGGCCUGAGAGGGUGACCGGCCACACUGGGACUGGGACACGGCCCAGGCUCCUACGGGAGGCAGCAGUGGGGAAUACUGCACAAUGGGCGCAAGCCUGAUGCAGCAACGCCGCGUGAGGGAUGACGGCCUUCGGGUUGUAAACCUCUUUUAGUAGGGAAGAAGCGAAAGUGACGGUACCUGCAGAAAAAGCACCGGCUAACUACGUGCCAGCCGCCGCCGUAA